This 277-nucleotide long non-coding RNA is filed under the name Mytilus galloprovincialis (Mediterranean mussel). The record is from RNAcentral. Lineage: Eukaryota; Metazoa; Mollusca; Bivalvia; Mytilida; Mytilidae.
UUUUUUUUUUUUUUUUUUAUUUGUGUUCUUAAUGCUUGGAUUACUUUUAGUGCUUUAUAAUUGCUAUUGCAUGAAUGUUAGUUUAUCUGCAUUUUAUGUUUGCUUAUAUGCUUUAAUUGUGCUAAUUAAUUGUUGUGCUUGAUAACAUUAUUUAUUUUGCAUGUUUUAUGUGUUUUAUGUAUUGUGCUUGUCUUAUAUGUAUGUCGGAUAAAAGCUCUACAGAGCUUAUGUUGUAUUGUUAUAUGUAUAACCGACUUUAAAUAAAUCUGUUAUGUUU